This is a transfer RNA of Jaapia argillacea, 90 nucleotides long. It matches the Rfam family "tRNA". From Rfam's summary of the family: Transfer RNA (tRNA) molecules are approximately 80 nucleotides in length. Their secondary structure includes four short double-helical elements and three loops (D, anti-codon, and T loops). The record is from Rfam. NCBI's taxonomy places the organism in Eukaryota, Fungi, Basidiomycota, Agaricomycetes, Jaapiales, Jaapiaceae.
UCCGAUAUGGUGUAACGGCUAACAUUGCCGCCUUUCAUGGGGAUAUCCCAAUGGUCGCGGCAGCUCGGGGUUCGAUUCCCCGUAUCGGAG